RNAcentral lists this long non-coding RNA (300 nucleotides) under Homo sapiens (human). RNAcentral describes it as "HSALNT0148185". The record is from RNAcentral. Lineage: Eukaryota; Metazoa; Chordata; Mammalia; Primates; Hominidae.
AUCUUAUGUUUCCAGAAUACCUCUGCCACCCUCUGCAUUUGUCUAAUCCUUUUGUGAUUUUGUGAGGCCCUCCAUCCCAUCCCCUAGAAUUCUGCCUAUGUGAAAGCUUUCAGGACAAAUCCUGAAUUGGGUGAGAGGUUACUCUAUGACCUUUAUGAUCAUUCCAUUUUUCACUGUAUGUUUCUAUGGUACCCACUGCCCAAGCUCUGUUAGUGUAAGAGCGCAGUCUCUAAUACACAAACUGAGUUGGAACCCCGAGUCUUCCUUGGAAUUCCUCUGUGGCCUUGGGCAAGUUCCUAC